GAGUUUCUAAGGCAAACUAUCAGCACACAUUAUAGGAAUUGGGGCAUGCUAGUUGAGAAAUAAGCAAAUAAGUUUCUUGGAUCAAACAGGAACAUGCUAUCAUAUUGAACAAGACAUGACUUAAGUCAUGCUGGUUAGAAGAACAUAAGCAUGUUGGAAUAUCAACCACAUAGCCAUAUGGGGCAAAGAGGUAACAAGACUAAAGCAUACUGGUUAUAAUAAAUAAGAAGCAUAUAAUAAACAUGCACAUAUUGAAGUUCAGAGUGAAUUAAUCAUAUAAUUCAUAGAGAAUAGGAACUGAAGCAUAGUAGUUGAGAAGAAGAUGGCUAGGAAGAAAAUAUCAAAGUAGAAGUAUACUGAGACACAUACCGCAUGUAGGAGAUUAUGAUUACAGAAACAUGGGCAUACCAAUUAAGAGAUAGCAAACAUGAUGGUGAAGGAAAGCUGAGUCCAAUAUCCUAGCCUUGACUUUCAGCCAGCUAGACAGUGCAACAAACACAAGUAACAGAAAGAAUUACAAUGGAGAGUGUGUGCGAAUAAGAGUUAUUGUGUGUAUUUCUGUAUCUUUCUAAGUGUGUUCGUGUCUUUGAAAUAAAUCAAAAAUCUGUUUUAUAUAGCACUUAGCAUAGAAAGCAAAUAAGGCAAAGAAUAAUUCAGAGUUCAGAAAUAAGGUAUACAAAUAAAAUCAAUAUGUUUAUUGGAGCUAAACUAAAUUAAAUAACUUACCAGAAUCCGGGAAAGAACCCUUAAAAUAAGGGAAAUAAAUUAAGAGCCCAGAUUAGAGGUUAAAAAAGGUAGUAAUAUCAAUCAAAGACCAUCUAGGAGUCGUCUAAAGCAGUCAAAUCCUAUCAAUUUGGUUAAUAAACUAAUUAAGGAAAGUAGUAUCUAAUUAGAGAUCCAAAUAAAGAAAAUAGGUAUAAAAUCACAUAGAAGUAUCAAUCAUGGCAUAUAAAAAAUAAUUUGAACCUUAAUAAGAUCAGUUAAUCUCUUCUAAUUGACAAAGAUGAAAAUAACAGGCGAAUACUAGAACAACAAAUCAAAUAAUCAGAAACCCUAGGGUUUAGAACAUAGACAGUCAAGCAAACAAAGAGUAACGCAAUCAAACACUCAGACAUCAUUAGAAAAGUUUUGCAGAAAUGCAAAGAAAAUAAAACCCUAGUUUUAGAGAAAACAUUAAAAUCAGUUAAUAGUAAGAAAGAUAUAGAAGGUUUUGAAGACAAAUACCAGGCAAACAUAAAAUCAUUUUAGAUCUACAAGGAUCUGAACAAACUUAGGUAGAAAGAGAUGAGGUUUUAUGAAAAAUGGAAUAAGAUGAGGAAAAAUCCAGUUAAGAACCGGAGUUUCAAUCUAUAUACAUAAAGAUACAAUACUCACAAACAUAGUGAUGAACAGGAAGCAGGUUCAUCGAAAAAAAUGAAGAUUCUAGGUUGACUCUGAGUUGAAUUUCUUUUAGAUUCCUUCAAAACAUGAAGAAAUCGAACAAACAAUAGAGGUAGGAGGUCCGAUAAGGCGUUAAAUUACCAAAUGAUUCCAUAUCCGGUUGGGAAUCAAAAGGAUCAGGGAGGAAUUUUUUGUGAAGGCACUUUAGGGUUCGAGAGCAUCUGAGAGAGAAGAGAAAAGGAGAGCAUUCAGAGG
This 1635-nucleotide long non-coding RNA is filed under the name Nicotiana benthamiana. RNAcentral's name for it is "long non-coding RNA (NBEN_LNC003706)". The record is from RNAcentral. Lineage: Eukaryota; Viridiplantae; Streptophyta; Magnoliopsida; Solanales; Solanaceae.